AACAAGAUCACCAUCACCAACGACAAGGGGCGGCUGAGCAAGGAGGAGAUCGAGAAGAUGGUGCAGGAGGCGGAAAAGUACAAGGCGGAGGACGAGGAGCACAAGAAGAAGGUGGACGCCAAGAACGCCCUGGAGAACUACGCCUACAACAUGCGCAACACCAUCAAGGACGACAAGAUCGCCUCCAAGCUGGGCGCCGACGACAAGAAGCGCAUCGAGGAGGCCAUCGACGGCGCCAUCAGCUGGCUGGACAGCAACCAGCUCGCGGAGGCGGACGAGUUCGAGGACAAGAUGAAGGAGCUGGAGGGCAUCUGCAACCCCAUCAUCGCCAAGAUGUACCAGGGCGCCGGCGCGGACAUGGGCGGCGCAGCGGGCAUGGACGAGGACAUUCCGGCCGGCGGCAGCAGCGGCGCUGGACCCAAGAUCGAGGAGGUGGACUAAGCUGUCUGCUUGGUGAUUGGUGGAUGCCUGGAUGGGUUCCGAGCUACGUGAUGCUUCCACCUGUGUGUUUCGCCGCUCGCUCGUGUUGUCUUGGUAGUUUCUGUCGUGGUCGUGUCAAUGGUGG
Molecule: long non-coding RNA, 565 nt
Filed under: Setaria italica (foxtail millet)
Lineage: Eukaryota; Viridiplantae; Streptophyta; Magnoliopsida; Poales; Poaceae
Description: long non-coding RNA (SITA_LNC002091)
Source: RNAcentral